AUCAGCAUGCCGCGUGAGUGAGAAGGCCUUCGGGUUGUAAAGCUCUUUUGUUAGGGAAGAAAAGGUGAGCAAUAAUACUGCUUACUGAUGACGGUACCUAAAGAAUAAGCACCGGCUAACUACGUGCCAGCAGCCGCGGUAAUACGUAGGGUGCAAGCGUUAAUCGGAAUUACUGGGCGUAAAGCGUGCGCAGGCGGCCUAUUAAGUCAGAUGUGAAAUCCCCGAGCUCAACUUGGGAACUGCAUUUGAAACUGAUAGGCUAGAGUGUGUCAGAGGGAGGUAGAAUUCCACGUGUAGCAGUGAAAUGCGUAGAGAUGUGGAGGAAUACCAGUGGCGAAGGCGGCCUCCUGGGAUAACACUGACGCUCAUGUACGAAAGCGUGGGGAGCAAACAGGAUUAGAUACCCUGGUAGUCCACGCCCUAAACGAUGUCAACUGGUUGUUGGGUCUUCAUUGACUUAGUAACGAAGCUAACGCGUGAAGUUGACCGCCUGGGGAGUACGGUCGCAAGAUUAAAACUC
This 520-nucleotide ribosomal RNA is filed under the name uncultured bacterium. Its description in RNAcentral is "bacterial SSU rRNA". It matches the Rfam family "Bacterial small subunit ribosomal RNA", at positions 387 to 902 of the family's 1533-position model. The record is from RNAcentral.